This 253-nucleotide ribosomal RNA is filed under the name uncultured bacterium. RNAcentral describes it as "partial 16S ribosomal RNA". It matches the Rfam family "Bacterial small subunit ribosomal RNA", at positions 524 to 776 of the family's 1533-position model. The record is from RNAcentral.
UACGGAGGGUGCAAGCGUUAUCCGGAUUCACUGGGUUUAAAGGGUGCGUAGGUGGGCUUGUAAGUCAGCGGUGAAAUCUCCGGGCUUAACCCGGAAACUGCCAUUGAUACUAUAAGUCUUGAAUUAUCUGGAGGUGAGCGGAAUAUGUCAUGUAGCGGAUGAAAUGCUUAGAUAUGACAUAGAACACCAAUUGCGAAGGCAGCUCACUACGGAUCGAUUGACACUGAGGCACGAAAGCGUGGGAUCAAACAGG